CAGCCGCCACGGGAAUACGGAGGAUCCGAGCGUUAUCCGAAUUUAUUGGGUUUAAAGGGUGCGUAGGCGGCUUUUUAAGUCAGGGGUGAAAGACGGUAGCUUAACUAUCGCAGUGCCUUUGAUACUGAAGAGCUUGAAUGUACUUGAGGUAGGCGGAAUGUGACAAGUAGCGGUGAAAUGCAUAGAUAUGUCACAGAACACCAAUUGCGAAGGCAGCUUACUAAAGUAUGGUUGACGCUGAGGCACGAAAGCGUGGGGAUCAAACAGGAUUAGAGACCCCCGUAGUCCCUGUCUCUUAUAC
RNAcentral lists this ribosomal RNA (301 nucleotides) under uncultured bacterium. RNAcentral describes it as "partial 16S ribosomal RNA". It matches the Rfam family "Bacterial small subunit ribosomal RNA", at positions 509 to 807 of the family's 1533-position model. The record is from RNAcentral.